GCCUAACACAUGCAAGUCGAACGCGAAAGGGGCUUCGGCCCUGAGUAGAGUGGCGAACGGGUGAGUAACGCGUGGGUGACCUACCUUCGAGUGGGGGAUAACGUUCCGAAAGGAGCGCUAAUACCGCAUGACGUUCCGGGUUUGAACAACCUGGAAACCAAAGCCGGGGACCGCAAGGCCUGGCGCUUGGAGAGGGGCCCGCGUCUGAUUAGCUAGUUGGCGGGGUAAUGGCCCACCAAGGCGACGAUCAGUAGCCGGCCUGAGAGGGCGGACGGCCACACUGGGACUGAGACACGGCCCAGACUCCUACGGGAGGCAGCAGUGGGGAAUUGUUCGCAAUGGGCGCAAGCCUGACGACGCAACGCCGCGUGGGGGAUGAAGGUCUUCGGAUUGUAAACCCUUGUCGAGCGGGACGAACGGCUCACGAGCUAAUCAUCGUGAGAGUGACGGUACCGCUAAAGGAAGCCACGGCUAACUCUGUGCCAGCAGCCGCGGUAAUACAGAGGUGGCAAGCGUUGUUCGGAAUUACUGGGCGUAAAGGGCGCGUAGGCGGCUCGCUAAGUCAGACGUGAAAUCCCCCGGCUCAACCUGGGAACUGCGUCUGAUACUGGCGAGCUGGAGUGCGGGAGAGGGAUGUAGAAUUCCAGGUGUAGCGGUGAAAUGCGUAGAUAUCUGGAGGAAUACCUGUGGCGAAGGCGGCAUCCUGGACCGACACUGACGCUGAGGCGCGAAAGCUAGGGUAGCAAA
RNAcentral lists this ribosomal RNA (747 nucleotides) under uncultured bacterium. Its description in RNAcentral is "bacterial SSU rRNA". It matches the Rfam family "Bacterial small subunit ribosomal RNA", at positions 46 to 772 of the family's 1533-position model. The record is from RNAcentral.